Long non-coding RNA from Zophobas morio, 834 nucleotides. RefSeq lists it as uncharacterized. The transcript has 2 exons. Lineage: Eukaryota; Metazoa; Arthropoda; Insecta; Coleoptera; Tenebrionidae. The record is from RefSeq and is a predicted model, not a curated record.
CCCUCUUAGCACUGCAUGCCGUAGCUUUCGCUCGUUCAGACCGUUGCGUCCGCGGCCUUAGCGCAUUCCGGAUUAAUUACAAUUACGCCGGUCCGGGCCUGGCUUGCGCCAGACAUGUUGUAAUAAUGAGGGCGGCUUUGGCCGGCCGACGCGCGAUUGUGGCCCUUGGGCGCCCCGACGCAAGAAACCGUCGGAUUUUCCGCUCUUUAAUUAUUCAAAGCAGUAAUAAUGUUGGUAUGAAUAAUAAGCCAGGCGUAUAUGGCCGUGAGGUUGGCAAUACAUAAUAAAUGCGGCGGGUGUUUAAUUAUUAGCAGGGAAACUGGCGAAUUCCGUGCGCCGCAACGGUCUGACCUUUCUCUCUUCUUUUCCCUUUUCGCCCUUCUCGGAAAGCGCCAGCUUUUUCCACGUCGUCGUAAGCUCGCACCGACACAGACGUCUUUAUUGUUGCGCCGGCCUUCUUUUGUUUUCGGGGUUUUGCUUUUUAUUAUUUCGCUUGAUUAAAUGCGGCAUGGCCGACUUUCGGGCUUUAUUGGGGAAGACGUUUUUUUAUUUACACAUGCACGGAGGGUCAUAGAAGAGGAAUUCAAAGGAUGCUGAGAAUGGGAAGGGCGAUGGGUCAGGGUUAAUGAGGGACGAAAGGGAACUGGUUGAAGAAUUAAAAUGGAACGAAUAGUUCGUGUUUGUAUGUACAUUAAAUUUUUGAAACGACGCCGCCUGGUCACACCCUGACGCGCUACACAAAACUAAGCUGUUAAUCGGUACCUGAAGGUCAUUUACGUAGAAAUAUUUUCCUGAUUAAAAUAUUUGUACAAUAAAUACAAGUAAAUAGAUUUA